This 468-nucleotide ribosomal RNA is filed under the name uncultured bacterium. RNAcentral describes it as "partial 16S ribosomal RNA". It matches the Rfam family "Bacterial small subunit ribosomal RNA", at positions 28 to 507 of the family's 1533-position model. The record is from RNAcentral.
GACGAACGCUGGCGGCGUGCUUAACACAUGCAAGUCGAACGAAAAGGCCCUGCUUUUGUGGGGUGCUCGAGUGGCGAACGGGUGAGUAACACGUGAGUAACCUGCCCUUGACUUUGGGAUAACUUCAGGAAACUGGGGCUAAUACCGGAUAUGAGCUCCUGCUGCAUGGUGGGGGUUGGAAAGUUUCGGCGGUGGGGGAUGGACUCGCGGCUUAUCAGCUUGUUGGUGGGGUAGUGGCUUACCAAGGCUGUGACGGGUAGCCGGCCUGAGAGGGGGACCGGCGACAUUGGGCCUGCGAUACGGCCCAGACUCCUACGGGAGGCAGCAGUGGGGAGUAUUGCACAAUGGGGGGAAGCCUGAUGCAGCAACGCCGCGUGCGGGAUGCCGGCCUUCGGGUUGUAAACCGCUUUCGCCUGUGACGAAGCGUGAGUGACGGUAAUGGGUAAAGAAGCACCGGCUAACUACGUG